RNAcentral lists this ribosomal RNA (448 nucleotides) under uncultured bacterium. RNAcentral's name for it is "partial 16S ribosomal RNA". It matches the Rfam family "Bacterial small subunit ribosomal RNA", at positions 29 to 523 of the family's 1533-position model. The record is from RNAcentral.
AACGAACGCUGGCGGCAGGCCUAACACAUGCAAGUCGAACGGAUCCUUCGGGAUUAGUGGCGGACGGGUGAGUAACGCGUGGGAACAUACCCAAAGGUACGGAAUAGCCUCGGGAAACUGGGAGUAAUACCGUAUGUGCUCGAAAGAGGAAAGAUUUAUCGCCUUUGGAUUGGCCCGCGUUGGAUUAGGUAGUUGGUGGGGUAAUGGCCUACCAAGCCGACGAUCCAUAGCUGGUUUGAGAGGAUGAUCAGCCACACUGGGACUGAGACACGGCCCAGACUCCUACGGGAGGCAGCAGUGGGGAAUCUUAGACAAUGGGGGAAACCCUGAUCUAGCCAUGCCGCGUGAUCGAUGAAGGCCUUAGGGUUGUAAAGAUCUUUCAGGUGGGAAGAUAUGACUGUACCACCAGAAGAAGCCCCGGCUAACUCCGUGCCAGCCGCCGCAGUAA